Molecule: non-coding RNA, 85 nt
Organism: Felis catus (domestic cat)
Lineage: Eukaryota; Metazoa; Chordata; Mammalia; Carnivora; Felidae
Source: Rfam
GCCUGGGUGGCUCAGUCGGUUAAGCGUCUGACUUCAGCUCAGGUCACGAUCUCGCGGUCCGUGAGUUCGAGCCCCGCGUCGGGCU